AACGAACGCUGGCGGCAUGCCUAACACAUGCAAGUCGAACGAGACCUUCGGGUCUAGUGGCGCACGGGUGCGUAACGCGUGGGAACCUGCCCUUAGGUUCGGAAUAACUCCCCGAAAGGGGUGCUAAUACCGGAUAAUGUCUUCGGACCAAAGAUUUAUCGCCUUUGGAUGGGCCCGCGUUGGAUUAGCUAGUUGGUAGGGUAAAAGCCUACCAAGGCGACGAUCCAUAGCUGGUCUGAGAGGAUGAUCAGCCACACUGGGACUGAGACACGGCCCAGACUCCUACGAGAGGCAGCAGUGGGGAAUAUUGGACAGUGGGCGAAAGCCUGAUCCAGCAAGGCCGCGAGAGUGAUGAAGGCCUUAGGGUUGUAAAGCUCUUUUACCCGGGAUGAUAAUGACAGUACCGGGAGAAUAAGCUCCGGCUAACUCCGU
This 432-nucleotide ribosomal RNA is filed under the name uncultured bacterium. RNAcentral describes it as "partial 16S ribosomal RNA". It matches the Rfam family "Bacterial small subunit ribosomal RNA", at positions 29 to 506 of the family's 1533-position model. The record is from RNAcentral.